Molecule: transfer RNA, 73 nt
Filed under: Bos taurus (domestic cattle)
Lineage: Eukaryota; Metazoa; Chordata; Mammalia; Artiodactyla; Bovidae
Also listed under: 5 other names
Rfam family: tRNA
About the family: Transfer RNA (tRNA) molecules are approximately 80 nucleotides in length. Their secondary structure includes four short double-helical elements and three loops (D, anti-codon, and T loops).
Source: Rfam by way of RNAcentral
UCCCUGAUGGUCCAGUGGCUCGGACUAUGUACUCCCAAUGCAAGUAAUCUGGGUUUGAUUCCUGGUCAGGGGC